GUGCUGUUUUGGCAGCACACACACUAAAACUGGAAUAAUGAGGAGAAGAUUAGCAUGACCCCUGAGCAAGGAUAACAGAAAUUCAUGACGAGUGGCAUAAAAAA
Small nuclear RNA from Dipodomys ordii (Ord's kangaroo rat), 104 nucleotides. The record is from Ensembl. NCBI's taxonomy places the organism in Eukaryota, Metazoa, Chordata, Mammalia, Rodentia, Heteromyidae.